CCCGCAACGACUGCUCCCCGCUCGUCCCCUCCCUGGAAACAGCGUCAUUCGACCUCCUUCUUCGAGGACUCGGUUCCUGACUCACUCCACCAGGUUUUGUUCCAAGUACUUUACGCGGAUCAGCUCUUCCAUGCCCACAACGAUCCCAUGAGCCACAAAUGAAAAUGACCCUCUUGAACUGCAAGUUCUUCAGAGGUCAUACCUUCUGAUGUCCUCUCUCGGAUCUGCUCAACUGCUUGCACAGAAUCAAAGUUCCCACCUUUCGUGAAUUUCAGGAUUGUCACUCAUUCACUUAUUAUUACAGGGAUAUUUCAGUCAAUAUAAUUCGAAGAUCUAUUCAUAGAAGCACAGAAAGCCAGUACAGCCAAUCACUCAAAACAACUAAUGCAAUGCAAUAAAGCAGUGAAUAAGCCAAACAACAGAAACUACUGAAAUUUCACCACACACUACAGAAUAACCACGCUCAGCUUUAGAACAACAGGAGGGACUGCCUGGUGGCUAAUGGAAGCGGGGCAGCCGACUACGUGCUAUAAAAACACAACCGCUGUGCCAAACGUGGAAAAAAGCAUUUUGAUGUUUCAAUAAAAUCCCCAAAUCCCCCAUUAAAACACACAUUGCUCCCUGAUACCCUAAAAUAUUCACGCUGAAGCAAGUGGAGGACCCGGGGAGGUGGGGGGUUAGAGCUGGCCAAGGGACAUGGUACAAGCAAGGUGAUGAACAGUAAUUUAAUUUUUUGAAGAGCCAAUGAGGGAGAGAGGUGCAUGCGGGAGAGAGGGUUGAACUAGGGAUCUAUUACAUCAUUGUUAGUUUUUUAAAGAAAAUUCUAUUCAAAUUCUAUGUUAAGAUGCAAUGAGUGGGGUGGAAAGAGGUCACAAUAAUAUACAAGCAACAUUCCCUCAUCCUUCAAAAUAAUUCCUACCCAUUGAACUUACCAGAAACAUAGCAACUCUAGGUUAUUAAAAAAUUACAGGUGAAGACUGGUAACACCUACUAACUGAAUUAUCACCUUUGUAUCCGUUUCAGAUAUUAUAAAACUUAAAAUUUAUUUCAAACGGAAGGGAACCCUCAGUUCCCUGAAACUGGAUACAGAGGCACAGGCUUAAAAACAAGAGUCACACAAAAAAAC
Molecule: non-coding RNA, 1126 nt
Organism: Callorhinus ursinus (northern fur seal)
Lineage: Eukaryota; Metazoa; Chordata; Mammalia; Carnivora; Otariidae
Source: RefSeq, a predicted model, not a curated record